GGGGAAUAUUGGACAAUGGGCGCAAGCCUGAUCCAGCCAUGCCGCGUGAGUGAUGAAGGCCUUAGGGUUGUAAAGCUCUUUCACCGGUGAAGAUAAUGACGGUAGCCGGAGAAGAAGCCCCGGCUAACUUCGUGCCAGCAGCCGCGGUAAUACGAAGGGGGCUAGCGUUGUUCGGAAUUACUGGGCGUAAAGCGCACGUAGGCGGAUUGGUCAGUUAGGGGUGAAAUCCCAGGGCUCAACCCUGGAACUGCCUUUAAUACUGCCAGUCUUGAGUUCGAGAGAGGUGAGUGGAAUUCCGAGUGUAGAGGUGAAAUUCGUAGAUAUUCGGAGGAACACCAGUGGCGAAGGCGGCUCACUGGCUCGAGACUGACGCUGAGGUGCGAAAGCGUGGGGAGCAAAC
This 400-nucleotide ribosomal RNA is filed under the name uncultured bacterium. RNAcentral describes it as "bacterial SSU rRNA". It matches the Rfam family "Bacterial small subunit ribosomal RNA", at positions 356 to 773 of the family's 1533-position model. The record is from RNAcentral.